This is a long non-coding RNA of Xiphophorus hellerii (green swordtail), 390 nucleotides long. RefSeq lists it as uncharacterized. Lineage: Eukaryota; Metazoa; Chordata; Actinopteri; Cyprinodontiformes; Poeciliidae. The record is from RefSeq and is a predicted model, not a curated record. The transcript has 2 exons.
GAGGUUCUGCAAUAACUUCUAUUUACAGCCCAGAACCUCCAGCCCAGAUCCCGUCAGCAGCGGCUUUAACCCUCCUGGUAGAAACGUUAAGGAGAAGCAGAGAGAACAGUCAGCAGGUGGUACCAGGUGGUACCGGGGCUUUGAGCUGCGUUGCGAGUCGCGGUGACAGUCGCAGUACUGUGUCUUAUAUCAGGAUGUCUGAUAUAAAGACAGAUAUUCUUUGUAUCUGUUGGUGGACCGACUCAGACUGCAUGUAGUGAACUGGGCUUUUAGCAGAAUGAUCAAGUUAAAGUCAGAAGUUUUGAAGCGUUUCUGUUUGGGGCAAGGCAGGUUUUUUCCCAGCUAUUGCGAGGACAAUUACGAAAAGAUAAAUAGAAACAGUUUUUCUAA